Molecule: long non-coding RNA, 878 nt
Organism: Hibiscus syriacus
Lineage: Eukaryota; Viridiplantae; Streptophyta; Magnoliopsida; Malvales; Malvaceae
Exons: 5
Source: RefSeq, a predicted model, not a curated record
UACAUCUAUACACUACGGUUGUGUUUCUUCUAUUUCUAGGUUAAUCAAUGGAUCAUAUUUGUAGGUAUAUCUAUGCUUGAUACACAAUUGUAGUCCUCUGUUUUUAUACCAAUGUAUCGUGUAGUUGCUUUCUGUUUUUCUUUUAUUCUUUUCUUUUUUUCAAGUGGCCUUCUAUAAAGUCUGUUGUUAUAGUUAAAGAGAAGUAGAAAAGGAUUCGAGGAGAAGAAGAAAUUUAGAAUUAGAGAUUACAGAAAAGAGAUACUUCAUUAAUUACUUUAAUCCCUAAAUCCCUAAUUUCAAACCCCUCUCUUCCCUCGAUCCCCAAUUCUCCAACAACAAUCCCUAACCCUUGACCUCCUCUUCUCCCAAUUUCUUCGUCAUUUCCACGCUCUUCUCCUCCUACUAUAACAAUACCCGCCGCUGGAAUCAAUCUUUGACCCCAAGGAUCAAAGCCUGGAAACUGCCCUCGCAAAACAGUAUAAUCUUCUCAUGUAUCAUUGGUUUCAUCAAGGUUCUUCCAUCGCACCAGCAACUGCGUAACAGGAGGAGUCGUUGAAGAGACUGCCGAGGGCCUGAUGUGUUUUUUUAAAAGACUCACAUGAAAGACUGGAUGUAGAUGUGAUGAUUCAGGGCCAAGGAAGUCUGUCGAUAUAAUUGCAACUUCAGACAUUGACGGCAGGAUUUGCAAUGAUUGGUCGAAUGGGAAGGAAAAUUAGUCAUUUUCAGAGUUAAUAACAUCACUAAACCAGUCAAACAUCCACCUUAGCAGUCAACAAUUUCCGCAUAUGGAGGCAGAUUUUGAGUACUUAAGAUGCGGAGACUGCAAAAUUGUAACCGACUUUAAAGCAUGAAGGCCCUCCUCUACAUAGGGACUUAAA